Non-coding RNA from Oncorhynchus nerka (sockeye salmon), 438 nucleotides. The record is from the annotation of a RefSeq genome assembly. Lineage: Eukaryota; Metazoa; Chordata; Actinopteri; Salmoniformes; Salmonidae.
CAUGUUAAGGAAAUCAACAUGAAAAACACUUUAUUUCUAAUUGAGUAGAAUAAUUCAUUUCUGAAAUGUAUUCAUACUAUAGUAGAGUUAAUUAUUUGAACCACAGUCUAAAGAAAUGAAGAGCGCCAAACAUGCAGGAGGUUUUUGUACCAGCAGUAAUAGGGAUUGUAUCACUGUGGUACACUUUUGGUAGCGGCACAAGACUAGAUGUUGGAAGUAACAGUGCCCCCACCCUCACCGUCCUGCCCCCCUCUAGUGAGGAGCUGUCCAGUACAACAACAGCCACACUGAUGUGUCUGGCCAACAAGGGCUUCCCCUCAGACUGGACCUUGACCUGGAAAGUGGACGGGACCAACCAGAAGCAGGAGGCCAGUCCUACGGUCCUGGAGAAUGAUGGCCUGUACAGCUGGAGCAGCACCCUGACUCUCACUGCCCAGG